CUAUUGGCUUCAUCGAAGACUUUGUAUAAUGAUUAUAAAAAACCACAUUUACAGGGAUCAACAGCAAGCCAAAAGCAAUUUUUGUAACACGGUCAUGGCUUUGUCUUUUAAAUGAUACUGUCAUAACAUUUUAGUUCAAUUACAUUU
Molecule: small nucleolar RNA, 147 nt
Organism: Calliphora vicina (urban bluebottle blowfly)
Lineage: Eukaryota; Metazoa; Arthropoda; Insecta; Diptera; Calliphoridae
Source: RefSeq, a predicted model, not a curated record